AGCAACAGGGAUUGCCUUAGUAGCGGCGAGUGAAGCGGCAAAAGCUCAAAUUUGAAAUCUGGCACCUUCGGUGUCCGAGUUGUAAUUUGAAGAUUGUAACCUUGGGGUUGGCUCUUGUCUAUGUUUCUUGGAACAGGACGUCACAGAGGGUGAGAAUCCCGUGCGAUGAGAUGCCCAAUCCUAUGUAAGGUGCUUUCGAAGAGUCGAGUUGUUUGGGAAUGCAGCUCUAAGUGGGUGGUAAAUUCCAUCUAAAGCUAAAUAUUGGCGAGAGACCGAUAGCGAACAAGUACAGUGAUGGAAAGAUGAAAAGAACUUUGAAAAGAGAGUGAAAAAGUACGUGAAAUUGUUGAAAGGGAAGGGUUUGAGAUCAGACUCGAUAUUUUGUGAGCCUUGCCUUCGUGGCGGGGUGACCCGCAGCUUAUCGGGCCAGCAUCGGUUUGGGCGGUAGGAUAAUGGCGUAGGAAUGUGACUUUGCUUCGGUGAAGUGUUAUAGCCUGCGUUGAUGCUGCCUGCCUAGACCGUAGGACUGCGAUUUAUCAAGG
Molecule: ribosomal RNA, 542 nt
Filed under: Meyerozyma guilliermondii
Lineage: Eukaryota; Fungi; Ascomycota; Pichiomycetes; Serinales; Debaryomycetaceae
Description: LSU rRNA
Rfam family: Eukaryotic large subunit ribosomal RNA
Source: RNAcentral